This 1361-nucleotide ribosomal RNA is filed under the name uncultured bacterium. RNAcentral's name for it is "bacterial SSU rRNA". It matches the Rfam family "Bacterial small subunit ribosomal RNA", at positions 28 to 1381 of the family's 1533-position model. The record is from RNAcentral.
AUUGAACGCUGGCGGCAGGCUUAACACAUGCAAGUCCAGCGGUAGCACAAGAGAGCUUGCUCUCUGGGUGACCAGCGGCGGACGGGUGAGUAAUGUCUGGGAAACUGCCUGAUGGAGGGGGAUAACUACUGGAAACGGUAGCUAAUACCGCAUAACGUCCCAAGACCAAAGAGGGGGACCUUCGGGCCUCUUGCCAUCAGAUGUGCCCAGAUGGGAUUAGCUAGUAGGUGGGGUAAUGGCUCACCUAGGCGACGAUCCCUAGCUGGUCUGAGGGGAUGACCAGCCACACUGGAACUGAGACACCGUCCACACUCCUACGGGAGGCAGCAGUGGGGAAUAUUGCACAAUGGGCGCAAGCCUGAUGCAGCCAUGCCGCGUGUGUGAAGAAGGCCUUCGGGUUGUAAAGCACUUUCCGCGAGGAGGAAGGUGGUGAACUUAAUACGUUCAUCCGUUGACGUUACUCGCCGAACAAGCACCGGCUAACUCCGUGCCAGCAGCCGCGGUAAUCGGAGGGGGCCAGGCGUUAUUCGGAAUACUGGGCGUAAAGCGCACGCAGGCGGUUUGUUAGUCAGAUGUGAAAUCCCCGGGCUCAACCUGGGAACUGCAUUUGAAACUGGCAAGCUAGAGUCUCGUAGAGGGGGGUAGAAUUCCAGGUGUAGCGGUGAAAUGCGUAGAGAUCUGGAGGAAUACCGGUGGCGAAGGCGGCCCCCUGGACGAAGACUGACGCUCAGGUGCGAAAGCGUGGGGAGCAAACAGGAUUAGAUACCCUGGUAGUCCACGCUGUAAACGAUGUCGAUUUGGAGGUUGUGCCCUUGAGGCGUGGCUUCCGGAGCUAACGCGUUAAAUCGACCGCCUGGGGAGUACGGCCGCAAGGUUAAAACUCAAAUGAAUUGACGGGGGCCCGCACAAGCGGUGGAGCAUGUGGUUUAAUUCGAUGCAACGCGAAGAACCUUACCUACUCUUGACAUCCAGAGAACUUUCCAGAGAUGGAUUGGUGCCUUCGGGAACUCUGAGACAGGUGCUGCAUGGCUGUCGUCAGCUCGUGUUGUGAAAUGUUGGGUUAAGUCCCGCAACGAGCGCAACCCUUAUCCUUUGUUGCCAGCGGUUCGGCCGGGAACUCAAAGGAGACUGCCAGUGAUAAACUGGAGGAAGGUGGGGAUGACGUCAAGUCAUCAUGGCCCUUACGAGUAGGGCUACACACGUGCUACAAUGGCAUAUACAAAGAGAAGCGACCUCGCGAGAGCAAGCGGACCUCAUAAAGUAUGUCGUAGUCCGGAUUGGAGUCUGCAACUCGACUCCAUGAAGUCGGAAUCGCUAGUAAUCGUAGAUCAGAAUGCUACGGUGAAUACGUUCCCGGGCCU